GCAUUGGUAGUUCAGUGGUAGAAUUCUCACCUUCCAUGUGGGAGACCUGAGUUCAGUUCCUGGCCAAUGCA
RNAcentral lists this transfer RNA (71 nucleotides) under Loxodonta africana (African savanna elephant). It matches the Rfam family "tRNA". From Rfam's summary of the family: Transfer RNA (tRNA) molecules are approximately 80 nucleotides in length. Their secondary structure includes four short double-helical elements and three loops (D, anti-codon, and T loops). Further hydrogen bonds mediate the characteristic L-shaped molecular structure. tRNAs have two regions of fundamental functional importance: the anti-codon, which is responsible for specific mRNA codon recognition, and the 3' end, to which the tRNAs corresponding amino acid is attached (by aminoacyl-tRNA synthetases). tRNAs cope with the degeneracy of the genetic code in two manners: having more than one tRNA (with a specific anti-codon) for a particular amino acid; and 'wobble' base-pairing, i.e. permitting non-standard base-pairing at the 3rd anti-codon position. Lineage: Eukaryota; Metazoa; Chordata; Mammalia; Proboscidea; Elephantidae. The record is from Rfam by way of RNAcentral.